GUUUUUGAGUGUAACACAUCUGAUAUAUUUUCAUUUGCAGAAUAUUUGACAUGAUGUCUAAUGGAUUGCCGUGUCAACUGAUCUUCCUGCAAACCUUUGCAAACAGAAGAUCUUCCCUCCAGUCCUGUUCAUAAAAGUUAUUGUUGGUUCAGGAGGACUGUAAAGUAGCUGCUGUUUUCCUACAGUAAUGUCUUGGAAAACGCUGAUGAUAAAUGAUGUCUGUGCAACAUGCACCGAGUUAUACAUUGGCAGUCCAUCUGCUUCUCUCUCUGGGGCUUUUGUAUGUUCUCCGGCAAUCAAGCGUUUAUUUGGGCCACUCAAUCUGCAGGUUAGCGCUUUGGGAAACCCGCAGGGAUCAGCCUGAGGGAGGCCUUGGCAGGACAUCUGCACUGGAAAACGUCCAUGGCUGGAGUGUUGGUAGGCAGCACACACAAACACCGCCGUACUGAAACAACAAUGAGUGACGGGAGAGCCAGCGGGAUUGUUAAUGUGGCAUAUGAGAUUGCUAAGAGGAAACCGUGGGGAGGUAUUACGCAAAUCCAACGCUUCUCCAGCCAUCAGCAAGGCUUCUGAGAGCAAGGGGAGCUGGAGCUCACAUCAGCGUGAAUACAAAUGAUCUUUUUUUCUGCAAGCAUAUAUAGUGAAAUGAGCAGAAGAUAAAGAGAUAGAGGAGAGAGGAUGUCUGUAGGAGGGGUUGGGGACAGAAGAGGAAGGCAGGAAUUAGGUGAGUGUUUGUUGAACAGUGUGUAGUUGCGAUUGAACAUGUGCUACUGCCUGGGCUCAGAUCCCCUGAAGUGCCAUUCAAAACCGGCACGUCGCCCAGAAAAAAAUAGAGAGAACCGGAGGAUGGAGGUUUUUAGAAAGUCAGACAUGGAGUCCCUUUAGUUCCAAUCCUUUUUUUGUAAAACGCAAAGAUCAGACUGUGAACACGCUUUAAAUUUCCUUUAUUUGUUCUGAAUUUAAAAGCAUAAACUGUUAAAAGUUAUUAGUUGACAUUACUUAAAAGAAGAGAGUAAAUUGAUUGAUUUUAAAGUGAACACUUGACUCUAUUUAAUAAAGGGGUAAGGGCAGCAUGGUGGCGCAGUGGGUAGUGCUCUCGCCUCACAGCAAGAAGGUCAGUUGGCAAUUCUGUGUGGAGUUUGCAUGUUUUUCCCAUGUUGGCGUGGGUUUCCUCCGGUGCACCAAAGACAUGCGCUAUGGGUGAAUUGGGUAAGCUAAAUUGUAGUGUAUGUGUGUGAAUGUAAGUGUAUGGGUGUUUCCUUGUACUUGUGCUGGAAGGGCAUUCGCUGUGUAAAACGUAUGCUGGAUAAGUUGGUGGUUCAUUCUGCUGUGGUAACCCCUGAUGAAUAAAGGGACUAAGCUGAAGGAAAAUGAAUGAAUAAAUGAAUGAAUGAAUGAACAAAUGAUUGAAUGAUUGAAUGAAUGAUUGAAUGAAUGAAUGAAUGAAUGAAUGAACGAAUGAAUCAUUGAAUGAAUGAAUGAAUGAAUGAUUGAUUGAAUGAAUGAACCCCUGAUAGAUAAAGGGACUAAGCCGAAGGAAAAUGAAUGAAUGAAUGAAUGAAUGAACGAACGAACGAAUGAUUGAAUGAAUGAAUGAAUGAAUAAAUGAAUGAUUGAAUGAAUGAAUGAAUGAACGAAUGAAUCAUUGAAUGAAUGAAUGAAUGAAUGAUUGAUUGAAUGAAUGAAUGAAUGAAUGAAUGAAUGAAUGAUUGAAUGAAUGAAUGAAUGAAUGAAUGAUUGAAUGAAUGAAUGAAUGAAUGAACGAACGAAUGAAUGAUUGAAUGAAUGAAUGAAUGAAUGAACAAACGAAUGAAUCAUUGAAUGAAUGAAUCAAUGAAUGAUUGAAUGAUUGAAUUUAUGAAUGAAUGAUUGAAUGAAUGAAUGAAUGAAUGAAUGAAUGAAUGAAUGAAU
Molecule: long non-coding RNA, 1911 nt
Filed under: Danio rerio (zebrafish)
Lineage: Eukaryota; Metazoa; Chordata; Actinopteri; Cypriniformes; Danionidae
Description: lncRNA (ENSDARG00000117657.1)
Source: RNAcentral